UCGGGAAUUUUGGGCAAUGGGCGAAAGCCUGACCCAGCAACGCCGCGUGAGGGAUGAAGGCCUUCGGGUCGUAAACCUCUGUCGGGAGGGACGAAAGGCGCGCGGGUGAACAAUCCGCGUACUUGACGGUACCUCCUAAGGAAGCGCCGGCUAACUCCGUGCCAGCAGCCGCGGUAAUACGGAGGGCGCAAGCGUUGUUCGGAAUUACUGGGCGUAAAGCGCGUGUAGGCGGCCAGGUAAGUCGGAUGUGAAAGCCCGGGGCCCAACCCCGGAAUUGCACCCGAUACUGCCUGGCUGGAGUCCCGGAGAGGAUGGCGGAAUUUCCGGUGUAGAGGUGAAAUUCGUAGAUAUCGGAAGGAACACCAGUGGCGAAGGCGGCCAUCUGGACGGUGACUGACGCUGAGACGCGAAAGCGUGGGGAGCAAACAGGAUUAGAUACCCUGGUAGUCCACGCCGUAAACGUUGGGUGCUAGACGUCGGGGGUAUUGACCCUCCGGUGUCGAAGCUAACGCAUUAAGCA
Molecule: ribosomal RNA, 520 nt
Filed under: uncultured Pseudomonadota bacterium
Lineage: Bacteria; Pseudomonadati; Pseudomonadota
Description: bacterial SSU rRNA
Rfam family: Bacterial small subunit ribosomal RNA
Source: RNAcentral